UACGGGGGGGGCAAGCGUUGUUCGGAAUUACUGGGCGUAAAGGGCUCGUAGGUGGCCAACUAAGUCAGACGUGAAAUCCCCAGGCUUAACCUGGGAACUGCGUCUGAUACUGGAUGGCUUGAAUUCGGGAGAGGGAUGUGGAAUUCCAGGUGUAGCGGUGAAAUGCGUAGAUAUCUGGAGGAACACCGGUGGCGAAGGCGACAUCCUGGACCGGUAUUGACGCUGAGGCGCGAAAGCCAGGGGAGCAAACGGG
RNAcentral lists this ribosomal RNA (253 nucleotides) under uncultured bacterium. RNAcentral's name for it is "partial 16S ribosomal RNA". It matches the Rfam family "Bacterial small subunit ribosomal RNA", at positions 524 to 776 of the family's 1533-position model. The record is from RNAcentral.